RNAcentral lists this ribosomal RNA (568 nucleotides) under uncultured bacterium. Its description in RNAcentral is "bacterial SSU rRNA". It matches the Rfam family "Bacterial small subunit ribosomal RNA", at positions 338 to 916 of the family's 1533-position model. The record is from RNAcentral.
CCUACGGGAGGCAGCAGUGGGGAAUAUUGCACAGUGGGCGCAAGCCUGAUGCAGCAACGCCGCGUGAGGGACGACGGCCUUCGGGUUGUAAACCUCUUUUAGUAGGGAAGAAGCGAAAGUGACGGUACCUGCAGAAAAAGCACCGGCUAACUACGUGCCAGCAGCCGCGGUAAUACGUAGGGUGCAAGCGUUAUCCGGAAUUAUUGGGCGUAAAGAGCUCGUAGGCGGUUUGUCGCGUCUGCUGUGAAAACUGGAGGCUCAACCUCCAGCCUGCAGUGGGUACGGGCAGACUAGAGUGCGGUAGGGGAGAUUGGAAUUCCUGGUGUAGCGGUGGAAUGCGCAGAUAUCAGGAGGAACACCGAUGGCGAAGGCAGAUCUCUGGGCCGUAACUGACGCUGAGGAGCGAAAGCAUGGGGAGCGAACAGGAUUAGAUACCCUGGUAGUCCAUGCCGUAAACGUUGGGAACUAGAUGUAGGGACCAUUCCACGGUUUCUGUGUCGCAGCUAACGCAUUAAGUUCCCCGCCUGGGGAGUACGGCCGCAAGGCUAAAACUCAAAUGAAUUGACGG